RNAcentral lists this ribosomal RNA (450 nucleotides) under Rhodococcus sp. (in: high G+C Gram-positive bacteria). RNAcentral's name for it is "bacterial SSU rRNA". It matches the Rfam family "Bacterial small subunit ribosomal RNA", at positions 54 to 521 of the family's 1533-position model. The record is from RNAcentral. Lineage: Bacteria; Bacillati; Actinomycetota; Actinomycetes; Mycobacteriales; Nocardiaceae.
CAUGCAGUCGAGCGGUAAGGCCUUUCGGGGUACACGAGCGGCGAACGGGUGAGUAACACGUGGGUGAUCUGCCCUGCACUUCGGGAUAAGCCUGGGAAACUGGGUCUAAUACCGGAUAUGACUUCCUAUUGCAUGGCUUGGGGUGGAAAGAUUUAUCGGUGCAGGAUGGGCCCGCGGCCUAUCAGCUUGUUGGUGGGGUAAUGGCCUACCAAGGCGACGACGGGUAGCCGACCUGAGAGGGUGACCGGCCACACUGGGACUGAGACACGGCCCAGACUCCUACGGGAGGCAGCAGUGGGGAAUAUUGCACAAUGGGCGAAAGCCUGAUGCAGCGACGCCGCGUGAGGGAUGACGGCCUUCGGGUUGUAAACCUCUUUCAGCAGGGACGAAGCGCAAGUGACGGUACCUGCAGAAGAAGCACCGGCUAACUACGUGCCAGCAGCCGGCGGU